AUUGAACGCUGGCGGCGUGCUUAACACAUGCAAGUCGUGCGGUAACAGGCGUAGCAAUACGUGCUGACGAGCGGCGAACGGGUGCGUAAUACAUGGGAAUCUGCCCUUUAGUGGGGAAUAACCCGGCGAAAGCCGGGCUAAUGCCGCAUAAGAUCUUCGGAUGAAAGCGGGGGAUCGUAAGACCUCGCGCUGAUGGAUGAGCCCAUGCCGGAUUAGCAGUUGGUGAGGUAACGGCUCACCAAGGCGACGAUCCGUAGCUGGUCUGAGAGGACGGCCAGCCACACUGGGACUGAGACACGGCCCAGACUCCUACGGGAGGCAGCAGUGGGGAAUAUUGGACAAUGGGGAAACCCUGAUCCAGCGACGCCGCGUGUGUGAAGAAGGCCU
Molecule: ribosomal RNA, 387 nt
Filed under: uncultured bacterium
Lineage: Bacteria
Description: bacterial SSU rRNA
Rfam family: Bacterial small subunit ribosomal RNA
Source: RNAcentral